GUGCUUGCUCAGCAGCACAUAUACUAUAAUUGGAAUGAUAGAGAGUCUAGCAUGGCCCACUGUGCAGGGAUGACCCUCAAAUUUGUGAAGCCUUCCAUAUCUUA
RNAcentral lists this small nuclear RNA (104 nucleotides) under Sciurus vulgaris (Eurasian red squirrel). The record is from RNAcentral. Lineage: Eukaryota; Metazoa; Chordata; Mammalia; Rodentia; Sciuridae.